AUUGAACGCUGGCGGCAUGCUUUACACAUGCAAGUCGAACGGCAGCACGGGAGCAAUCCUGGUGGCGAGUGGCGAACGGGUGAGUAAUACAUCGGAACGUGCCCAGUAGUGGGGGAUAGCCCGGCGAAAGCCGGAUUAAUACCGCAUAUGCCCUGAGGGGGAAAGCGGGGGACCGAAAGGCCUCGCGCUAUUGGAGCGGCCGAUGGCUGAUUAGCUAGUUGGUGGGGUAAAGGCCCACCAAGGCGACGAUCAGUAGCUGGUCUGAGAGGACGACCAGCCACACUGGGACUGAGACACGGCCCAGACUCCUACGGGAGGCAGCAGUGGGGAAUUUUGGACAAUGGGCGCAAGCCUGAUCCAGCAAUGCCGCGUGUGCGAAGAAGGCCUUCGGGUUGUAAAGCACUUUUGUUUGGAAAGAAAAGGUCAGUGCUAAUACCACUGGCUGAUGACGGUACCAAUCGAAUAAGCACCGGCUAACUACGUGCCAGCCGCCGCCGUAA
This 500-nucleotide ribosomal RNA is filed under the name uncultured bacterium. RNAcentral describes it as "partial 16S ribosomal RNA". It matches the Rfam family "Bacterial small subunit ribosomal RNA", at positions 29 to 523 of the family's 1533-position model. The record is from RNAcentral.